UGGGGUUGUGGCUCAGUGGUAGAGUGCUUGCCUCACAUGUGUGAGGUCCUGGGUUCAGUCCUCAGCACCACAA
RNAcentral lists this transfer RNA (73 nucleotides) under Marmota monax (woodchuck). RNAcentral's name for it is "tRNA.Val". The record is from RNAcentral. Lineage: Eukaryota; Metazoa; Chordata; Mammalia; Rodentia; Sciuridae.